This 142-nucleotide microRNA precursor is filed under the name Linum usitatissimum (flax). RNAcentral describes it as "miR156f stem-loop (lus-MIR156f)". Its record names the gene lus-MIR156f. Lineage: Eukaryota; Viridiplantae; Streptophyta; Magnoliopsida; Malpighiales; Linaceae. The record is from miRBase by way of RNAcentral.
GGGUUGAGAGCUCUUUUGGGGGAUGUUGUUGACAGAAGAUAGAGAGCACAGAUGAUGGGAUACAAUUGAUAGUAUACAUAUCUCACUUCCUUUGUGCUCUCUAUGCUUCUGUCAUCAUCUUUUCGAGCGGCCUCCUCGAUCC